AGAUUCUUAACAUUAAGGACCAUCGUGCUAUUUAUUUACACACCCCUGUAUAAUGUCUUAGAAGUUCACUAAAUAAAAUCUUCUUGCAUAAAAGAAGUUAGAGAAUGUCAGUAUUAAAAAUAGAAAUUCAAGUAGAUCUAUGAGCCGUCAAAUAUGAAAAAUUCACGUGUCAAUAAAAAAAUGUACAAAAAUAUUAAUUAAAAUUAUGCAGACAUGAUUAACAAAUUCUCAUCUUUAUAGGCUUUUAGCAUGGUACGAUAAAUGCAGCUGCUGAGGAAUAUAAGUAAUCGGACGAAAUAAGAAUAUAACAUGAGCAGGCAGUAGUAAUAUUUCGGAGUUAACAUCAAUGGCUCCUUCAAUUUACCCGCCCUGCACUCCAACUGCAUCAUGUACGCCCAUAAGAUGCCACCCCACACCUCCGCCGUGUCAAAAUCCAGAACGUUGCCUAAAAAAAACUACGUCGAAAAAUAUAAAGCCAUGUCUCAGCGCUGUAUCUAUCAUGAGAAGCAGGGAUAAGGCCAGGGCCUCGUGUGGCAGCUGCAAUAAAUUGAGAACUAAUUCAAAAUCCGUAGAAAAUUUUCUAAAAAGGAAAUCUAAAGAGGGAAAAAUGAAAAAGAAGGAUAGAUUGACGGGAAGUCAUAGUUAUACUAAUUAUUCCAAAAAACAAGGCAGUCGUCUAUCUGAAUCCGACUGCUGCUAUGGCAAAGGGCACAGAGGACGAAUGCAGCGACCAAAGAAAUGUUGCGAAAUACUUUGAUAUUUGUA
RNA transcript from Pararge aegeria (speckled wood butterfly), 765 nucleotides. RefSeq lists it as uncharacterized. The transcript is spliced from 3 exons. NCBI's taxonomy places the organism in Eukaryota, Metazoa, Arthropoda, Insecta, Lepidoptera, Nymphalidae. The record is from RefSeq and is a predicted model, not a curated record.